Molecule: long non-coding RNA, 90 nt
Organism: Sinocyclocheilus anshuiensis
Lineage: Eukaryota; Metazoa; Chordata; Actinopteri; Cypriniformes; Cyprinidae
Exons: 3
Source: RefSeq, a predicted model, not a curated record
AAACGGAUGAUCUGAUGGAUAAAGGCAAAGAGUUCCAGAGUGUAGGACCAAGAACUGAAAAAGCUCUGUUCCCUUUAGAUUUUAAACGAG